RNAcentral lists this ribosomal RNA (273 nucleotides) under uncultured bacterium. Its description in RNAcentral is "partial 16S ribosomal RNA". It matches the Rfam family "Bacterial small subunit ribosomal RNA", at positions 524 to 796 of the family's 1533-position model. The record is from RNAcentral.
UACAGAGGGUGCGAGCGUUGUCCGGAAUUACUGGGCGUAAAGGGCGCGUAGGCGGCCUGAUAAGUAGGAGGUGAAAUUCCAUGGCUCAACCAUGGAUCGGCCUUCUAGACUGUCAGGCUUGAGCACGGUAGAGGCAGAUGGAAUUCCCGGUGUAGCGGUGGAAUGCGUAGAGAUCGGGAAGAACACCAGUGGCGAAGGCGGUCUGCUGGGCCGUUGCUGACGCUGAGGCGCGACAGCGUGGGGAGCAAACAGGAUUAGAAACCCCCGUAGUCC